UCCACUGUUUUUGAGGUGGAUCCAAUGAUGGAGAGCGCUCCAACGACUGAACGCUGGUGAGAUCGUUAGUCAAAGUUCUUAUUGUUGUGAGACAACCAGCAUUAAUUAUCCUAACUUGGACGAGCUCAAUUCCAUCAAGAUUUGUUGUUGGAUUCGGGAAGAAGAGGGGCUGGAAUACUCCCUUCGUCACCCUCGCAGGUCAUUCUCUUUGUGCACAAUCCUCAGCUUGUAGUUCUCUGGCAACGUCCUUAUCUGAUCCCUCUUCCAACUGAUGGGCUUGAAGGCUCUAGAGCUUUGGUAUUUAUGCAUAAUCAACUACAAAUCCAAGAAGAGUGGAACCAACAAGAGCUUCAAGAAACUCGAAAAGAGAUGGCUGAAAUUAGGAGGAUGCUACAAUUAUUUAUAUCUCAAAAUCAUGCACCUUCUCAAAUAAAUCAAGGAGGCCAUGACGAAGAUGUUGAUCCAACUCCACCAACUUAGUAGUUGGUGUUCUUAUGUUGUGACUUAUUUCUCGUAUUUGUUGCUUGCUUGUGAUACUUUUGAGUUUUA
Long non-coding RNA from Dioscorea cayenensis subsp. rotundata (Guinea yam), 549 nucleotides. RefSeq lists it as uncharacterized. The record is from RefSeq and is a predicted model, not a curated record. The transcript has 3 exons. Lineage: Eukaryota; Viridiplantae; Streptophyta; Magnoliopsida; Dioscoreales; Dioscoreaceae.